This 754-nucleotide ribosomal RNA is filed under the name Saccharomyces cerevisiae (brewer's yeast). RNAcentral describes it as "eukaryotic LSU rRNA". The stretch from base 150 to 754 matches the Rfam family "Eukaryotic large subunit ribosomal RNA", at positions 1 to 609 of the family's 3401-position model. Lineage: Eukaryota; Fungi; Ascomycota; Saccharomycetes; Saccharomycetales; Saccharomycetaceae. The record is from RNAcentral.
CCAAAGAGAGGUUUCUCUGCGUGCUUGAGGUAUAAUGCAAGUACGGUCGUUUUAGGUUUUACCAACUGCGGCUAAUCUUUUUUAUACUGAGCGUAUUGGAACGUUAUCGAUAAGAAGAGAGCGUCUAGGCGAACAAUGUUCUUAAAGUUUGACCUCAAAUCAGGUAGGAGUACCCGCUGAACUUAAGCAUAUCAAUAAGCGGAGGAAAAGAAACCAACCGGGAUUGCCUUAGUAACGGCGAGUGAAGCGGCAAAAGCUCAAAUUUGAAAUCUGGUACCUUCGGUGCCCGAGUUGUAAUUUGGAGAGGGCAACUUUGGGGCCGUUCCUUGUCUAUGUUCCUUGGAACAGGACGUCAUAGAGGGUGAGAAUCCCGUGUGGCGAGGAGUGCGGUUCUUUGUAAAGUGCCUUCGAAGAGUCGAGUUGUUUGGGAAUGCAGCUCUAAGUGGGUGGUAAAUUCCAUCUAAAGCUAAAUAUUGGCGAGAGACCGAUAGCGAACAAGUACAGUGAUGGAAAGAUGAAAAGAACUUUGAAAAGAGAGUGAAAAAGUACGUGAAAUUGUUGAAAGGGAAGGGCAUUUGAUCAGACAUGGUGUUUUGUGCCCUCUGCUCCUUGUGGGUAGGGGAAUCUCGCAUUUCACUGGGCCAGCAUCAGUUUUGGUGGCAGGAUAAAUCCAUAGGAAUGUAGCUUGCCUCGGUAAGUAUUAUAGCCUGUGGGAAUACUGCCAGCUGGGACUGAGGACUGCGACGUAAGUCAA